RNAcentral lists this ribosomal RNA (324 nucleotides) under uncultured eukaryote. Its description in RNAcentral is "partial 18S ribosomal RNA". It matches the Rfam family "Eukaryotic small subunit ribosomal RNA", at positions 1470 to 1796 of the family's 1831-position model. The record is from RNAcentral.
CCCUUAGAUGCUCUGGGCCGCACGCGCGCUACACUGGUCGAUGCAACGAGUUUCUUUCCUUGGCCGACAGGCCUGGGCAAUCUUUGAACAUCGAUCGUGAUCGGGAUAGAUUCUUGUAAUUUUUGAUCUUAAACGAGGAAUUCCUAGGAAACGCAAGUCAUCAGCUUGCAUUGAUUACGUCCCUGCCCUUUGUACACACCGCCCGUCGCACCUACCGAUUGAAUGGUCCGGUGAAAUCUCCGGACUGGCGUGAGUCGGAGCAAUCUGACAAACACCGGAAAGUUGAUUAAACCUUACCAUUUAGAGGAAGGUGAAGUCGUANCA